UACGUAGGGUGCGAGCGUUGUCCGGAAUUAUUGGGCGUAAAGGGCUCGUAGGCGGUUUGUCGCGUCGGGAGUGAAAACCCAGGGCUUAACCCUGGGCUGGCUUCCGAUACGGGCAGACUAGAGGUAUGCAGGGGAGAACGGAAUUCCUGGUGUAGCGGUGAAAUGCGCAGAUAUCGGGAGGAACACCAAUUGCGAAGGCAGCUCGCUGGGACGUCACUGACGCUGAGACGCGAAAGCGUGGGGAGCAAACAGG
Molecule: ribosomal RNA, 253 nt
Filed under: uncultured bacterium
Lineage: Bacteria
Description: partial 16S ribosomal RNA
Rfam family: Bacterial small subunit ribosomal RNA
Source: RNAcentral